Molecule: long non-coding RNA, 1492 nt
Filed under: Strigops habroptila (Kakapo)
Lineage: Eukaryota; Metazoa; Chordata; Aves; Psittaciformes; Psittacidae
Description: lncRNA (ENSSHBG00005006174.1)
Source: RNAcentral
GUGAGCUCAGCUGCUUGGCCAGCACGUGGAGAAGCUCCACUCCUCAUCACGCAGCUUGGCUGGGCUCUGCUGGGGAGAUGUGAAGCCUGUUGUGUUGGAGAAUAGAGAUGGAGGGAUGGCAGGAGGUGCUGAGCAGGGCUGCUGCUUGUCUUGUGCUCGUAGAGGCUUUGUGUUGGUGGUACAGGAGAGCUGAAGGGCCUGCCCUGACAUGGGGAUGCACAUCCCAGUGCUGGAGGAUCCUUCCCUGUGCCUGUAACCCUGUUUCCUUGGUAGCUUCUGCUUUGGCAGGAAGAGUUUUAACCCGUGGUGCUGUCAGCUGUGGUGGGGCAGUGCUUGGCUUUAGCUCCUGCUGCUGCGUUGUCAGUUCUGGCGGAGUCUGUGCUCUGCACAGUGAAAUACCUGAGAGCUUUUGAUGUGGAUUUGUGGGAAUUCUGCUUUCACAGGCCCAGGGCUCAGCCCGCAGUGCAGAUCAGGUGUGAGCUCUUCCUGCAAGCCAGAGCAGCUCUGACAAUUCCAGAGAUUUGGAGGGACCCUUCUGGCUGUCUCUGGGUUUCCAGGCUUUUGGGUGACUGACUGGGACAGAGGCAGUUCCUUUGUGAUAGGAACCCUUGGCAGGAAGUUUCCAACCUUGCUUCUUUCCCUGCUCUUACUUAAGCAAUGAGGUGUAACUAACCCACAGGACUGUUGUUUUUCUUGACUGAGAAGUAUCCCAAUUAUUCCCUUUUCCCCCUAAGUGCUCUCUGAGCAGCCUCUUUGCACUUGGCAGUGCUCUGGGCUGUCACGGCUGGUGGACACCCUUUGGGAAUGACAGUGGGAGAGUUAUGUGCCAGCAGAGACCUGUGUAGAGACUCAAUGACUCCUGUUUAAAUGGUGUUUAUCUGUCACUGGUCUCUUGAUUUGUGUCUUCCAUACUGUCAGGUAGGAUGUGCUGUGUAAAAUGCUUUUAGAGUUUGAAAGCUUUAGCCAGCCAGCCUGCUUUUAGGGGUAGAAAAGGAGCAGCCCACAACCCGGUGUUGCUGCUGCCGUGCUGAUUUCUUCACAGGAGGAAAAGGGGAGGAUGAUGCCUCGAGUUCAGAGGAACCAGACCCUGUAGAACCUGCGUUUUCCCUCCCAUGCAGUCCUGUCUCUCUCUUGGGUCACUGACUUUGCUUUCCUGGCAGUGGCACCCUGCUGUCAAUGUUUAACCCUGUUGCUCACAUGCCUGUGUUUUGGGGGGGGUGCUUCCAGUAUCAAGCAGGGAAUGUCCUAUCCCUGUCCCGGCACCCAGAUGGUUUGAGCCUGGAGUGAGGUUUAAGCCCGGCUACAGCGACAGCCUCCAGCCUGCGCACAGCCACCCUUGGCUGGAUAACGAGGUGUGACCGGUGACAAACGGGGCUGGGACGUUCCUGCUCCAUCAGGCUCUGGGGAGAGGGGGCUGAGCCUCGCCCGCCCCGCUGCUUCCCUCGUGUGUAAAUACUUGUACAAAGAACUAACCAAUAAAGAGCUCACGGAA